UACGUAGGGUGCAGGCGUUAAUCGGAAUUACUGGGCGUAAAGCGUGCGCAGGCGGCUCCUUAAGUCAGAUGUGAAAGCCCCGGGCUUAACCUGGGAACUGCGUUUGAAACUGGGGGGCUAGAGUGUGGAAGAGGGGGGUGGAAUUCCAGGUGUAGCAGUGAAAUGCGUAGAGAUCUGGAGGAACACCGAUGGCGAAGGCAGCCCCCUGGGCUAACACUGACGCUCAUGCACGAAAGCGUGGGGAGCGAACAGG
RNAcentral lists this ribosomal RNA (253 nucleotides) under uncultured bacterium. RNAcentral describes it as "partial 16S ribosomal RNA". It matches the Rfam family "Bacterial small subunit ribosomal RNA", at positions 524 to 776 of the family's 1533-position model. The record is from RNAcentral.